CAGUAGCCACGGUAAAACGUAGGGUGCAAGCGUUAAUCGGAAUUACUGGGCGUAAAGCGUGCGCAGGCGGUUAUAUAAGACAGUCGUGAAAUCCCCGGGCUCAACCUGGGAACUGCGAUUGUGACUGUAUGGCUAGAGUGUGUCAGAGGGGGGUAGAAUUCCACGUGUAGCAGUGAAAUGCGUAGAUAUGUGGAGGAAUACCGAUGGCGAAGGCAGCCCCCUGGGAUAACACUGACGCUCAUGCACGAAAGCGUGGGGAGCAAACAGGAUUAGAUACCCCAGUAGUCCCUGUCUCUUAUAC
This 301-nucleotide ribosomal RNA is filed under the name uncultured bacterium. RNAcentral's name for it is "partial 16S ribosomal RNA". It matches the Rfam family "Bacterial small subunit ribosomal RNA", at positions 509 to 807 of the family's 1533-position model. The record is from RNAcentral.